UACGUAGGUGGCAAGCGUUGUCCGGAAUUAUUGGGCGUAAAGCGCGCGCAGGCGGUCUCUUAAGUCUGAUGUGAAAGCCCACGGCUCAACCGUGGAGGGUCAUUGGAAACUGGGGGACUUGAGUACAGAAGAGGAAAGCGGAAUUCCACGUGUAGCGGUGAAAUGCGUAGAGAUCAUGAGGAAGACCAGUGGCGAAGGCGGGUCUCUGGACAGUUCCUGACACUGAGACACGAAGGCCAGGGGAGCAAACGGG
RNAcentral lists this ribosomal RNA (253 nucleotides) under uncultured bacterium. RNAcentral describes it as "partial 16S ribosomal RNA". It matches the Rfam family "Bacterial small subunit ribosomal RNA", at positions 524 to 776 of the family's 1533-position model. The record is from RNAcentral.